CCUACGGGAGGCAGCAGUAGGGAAUCUUCCACAAUGGGCGAAAGCCUGAUGGAGCAACGCCGCGUGGGUGAAGAAGGUUUUCGGAUCGUAAAACCCUGUUGUUAGAGAAGAAAGUGCGUGAGAGUAACUGUUCACGUUUCGACGGUAUCUAACCAGAAAGCCACGGCUAACUACGUGCCAGCAGCCGCGGUAAUUUGUAGGUGGCAAGCGUUAUCCGGAUUUAUUGGGCGUAAAGGGAACGCAGGCGGUCUUUUAAGUCUGAUGUGAAAGUCUUCGGCUUAACCGGAGUAGUGCAUUGGAAACUGGGGAACUUGAGUGCAGAAGAGGGGAGUGGAACUCCAAGUGUAGCGGUGAAAUGCGUAGAUAUAUGGAAGAACACCAGUGGCGAAAGCGGCUCUCUGGUCUGUAACUGACGCUGAGGUUCGAAAGCGUGGGUAGCAAACAGGAUUAGAUACCCUUGUAGUC
Molecule: ribosomal RNA, 465 nt
Filed under: uncultured bacterium
Lineage: Bacteria
Description: partial 16S ribosomal RNA
Rfam family: Bacterial small subunit ribosomal RNA
Source: RNAcentral